GACGAACGCUGGCGGCGUGCCUAAUACAUGCAAGUCGAGCGCAGAAGGUUGGUGCUUGUUCCUACUGGAUUAGCAGCGAACGGGUGAGUAACACGUGGAGAAUCUGCCUUUGAGCGGGGGACAACAUUGGGAAACGAAUGCUAAUACCGCAUAAAAACUUGAAACACAAGUUUCAAUUGUGAAAGAUGCAAUUGCAUCACUCAAAAAUUAUCCCGCCUCGUAUUAGCUAGUUGGUGAGGUAAAGGCUUACCAAGGCGAUGAUACAUAGCCGACCUGAGAGGGUGAUCGGCCACAUUGGGACUGAGACACGGUCCAAACUCCUACGGGAGGCAGCAGUAGGGAAUCUUCGGCAAUGGACGAAAGUCUGACCGAGCAACGCCGCGUGAGUGAUGAAGGUCUUCGGAUCGUAAAACUCUGUUGGUAGGGAAGAACGAUGGUGAAAGUGGAAAGCCAAUUCAGUAACGGUAACUAUCCAGAAAGCAACGGCUAACUACGU
Molecule: ribosomal RNA, 496 nt
Filed under: uncultured bacterium
Lineage: Bacteria
Description: partial 16S ribosomal RNA
Rfam family: Bacterial small subunit ribosomal RNA
Source: RNAcentral